UACGAAGGGGGCUAGCGUUGCUCGGAAUCACUGGGCGUAAAGCGCACGUAGGCGGCUUCUUAAGUCAGGGGUGAAAUCCUGGAGCUCAACUCCAGAACUGCCUUUGAUACUGAGAAGCUUGAGUCCGGGAGAGGUGAGUGGAACUGCGAGUGUAGAGGUGAAAUUCGUAGAUAUUCGCAAGAACACCAGUGGCGAAGGCGGCUCACUGGCCCGAUACUGACGCUGAGGUGCGAAAGCGUGGGGAGCAAACAGG
Molecule: ribosomal RNA, 253 nt
Filed under: uncultured bacterium
Lineage: Bacteria
Description: partial 16S ribosomal RNA
Rfam family: Bacterial small subunit ribosomal RNA
Source: RNAcentral